UCCUAGGUGGAGCGGGGGUGUCGUGGACCAGCGAGGGUGGCGCGCUGCGUUGACGCGGUGCUCUGCUUGGCUGUGUGUCGGUGUGGCCUGCCCCCCUGUAGAGGGGUGUCGUAGGCUACCCGUUGAAGCGAGGGAAACC
Molecule: non-coding RNA, 139 nt
Organism: Leishmania braziliensis
Lineage: Eukaryota; Euglenozoa; Kinetoplastea; Trypanosomatida; Trypanosomatidae
Source: Rfam